Molecule: long non-coding RNA, 328 nt
Organism: Cryptotermes secundus
Lineage: Eukaryota; Metazoa; Arthropoda; Insecta; Blattodea; Kalotermitidae
Exons: 3
Source: RefSeq, a predicted model, not a curated record
CCAACCCCAAACAGCUACACGUCGUUUGUCCACAAAGUGAAGAGAGUCUCGGAGAUAUCUAUAAGAAAAUGCAGAUAACACAGGUACAGCCAGUGAACAUCAUAGUCUCUGUUUCUGUGGUCGUCUUGAUCUGAUAUAUGUGUUUGUCUUCUUAGUCGCCAUCAGUCAUCUACAUAAUACUGGUGUUCCGUGUGGUGAUGGUGGCUGUCACUCUCUUCUUGAAAGUCAUCUUUGUUUUCUUCAUACCGCUAAGAAACAAAAGAAGAGUAUAACAGCCAUUGCAGUAGGCUAUAUGGUGCAUACUCGAGUAUAUGCAUUUAUGAACAAG